GGCACCGGAUAUUGAAAGCCUUGAGCAGAGCAUGCAUGACAUGAGCAUCGUUGAAGAGGAGUUGAAUGAAAAUGACUUCAAUGACCCCAUGAACAGUGUGAUUGAUUGGGCAGAAGAGGGGCCCUCAUUUCAUGGUGACCGGGACGACAGCUCUGAUGUGGAAUAUCUUAAGUCAUAAUCUAUUACUACUCUUUACUUUGUUUCUGUG
Sander lucioperca (pikeperch) is the source of this 208-nucleotide long non-coding RNA. RefSeq lists it as uncharacterized. NCBI's taxonomy places the organism in Eukaryota, Metazoa, Chordata, Actinopteri, Perciformes, Percidae. The record is from RefSeq and is a predicted model, not a curated record. The transcript has 3 exons.